GACGAACGCUGGCGGCGCGCUUAACACAUGCAAGUCGAACGGAAAGGCCCUGCUUUUGUGGGGUGCUCGAGUGGCGAACGGGUGAGUAACACGUGAGUAACCUGCCCUUGACUUUGGGAUAACUUCAGGAAACUGGGGCUAAUACCGGAUAGGAGCUCCUGCUGCAUGGUGGGGGUUGGAAAGUUUCGGCGGUUGGGGAUGGACUCGCGGCUUAUCAGCUUGUUGGUGGGGUAGUGGCUUACCAAGGCUUUGACGGGUAGCCGGCCUGAGAGGGUGACCGGCCACAUUGGGACUGAGAUGCGGCCCAGACUCCUACGGGAGGCAGCAGUGGGGAAUAUUGCACAAUGGGCGGAAGCCUGAUGCAGCAACGCCGCGUGCGGGAUGACGGCCUUCGGGUUGUAAACCGCUUUCGCCUGUGACGAAGCGUGAGUGACGGUAAUGGGUAAAGAAGCACCGGCUAACUACGUG
RNAcentral lists this ribosomal RNA (468 nucleotides) under uncultured bacterium. Its description in RNAcentral is "partial 16S ribosomal RNA". It matches the Rfam family "Bacterial small subunit ribosomal RNA", at positions 28 to 507 of the family's 1533-position model. The record is from RNAcentral.